Molecule: ribosomal RNA, 497 nt
Filed under: uncultured bacterium
Lineage: Bacteria
Description: partial 16S ribosomal RNA
Rfam family: Bacterial small subunit ribosomal RNA
Source: RNAcentral
GAUGAACGCUGGCGGCGUGCCUAAUACAUGCAAGUCGAGCGAACAGAUGAGGAGCUUGCUCCUCUGACGUUAGCGGCGGACGGGCGAGUAACACGUGGAUAACCUACCUAUAAGACUGGGAUAACUUCGGGAAACCGGAGCUAAUACCGGAUAAUAUAUUGAACCGCAUGGUUCAAUAGUGAAAGACGGUUUUGCUGUCACUUAUAGAUGGAUCCGCGCCGCAUUAGCUAGUUGGUAAGGUAACGGCUUACCAAGGCAACGAUGCGUAGCCGACCUGAGAGGGUGAUCGGCCACACUGGAACUGAGACACGGUCCAGACUCCUACGGGAGGCAGCAGUAGGGAAUCUUCCGCAAUGGGCGAAAGCCUGACGGAGCAACGCCGCGUGAGUGAUGAAGGUCUUCGGAUCGUAAAACUCUGUUAUUAGGGAAGAACAAAUGUGUAAGUAACUAUGCACGUCUUGACGGUACCUAAUCAGAAAGCCACGGCUAACUACGCG